CCUACGGGAGGCAGCAGUGGGGAAUAUUGCACAAUGGGGGGAACCCUGAUGCAGCGACGCCGCGUGAGUGAAGAAGUAUUUCGGUAUGUAAAGCUCUGUCAGCAGGGAAGAAGAAAGACGGUACCUGACCAAGAAGCCCCGGCUAACUACGUGCAAGCAGCCGCGGUAAUACGUAGGGGGCAAGCGUUAUCCGGAUUUACUGGGUGUAAAGGGAGCGGAGACGGCAGGGCAAGUCUGGAGUGAAAGGCAGGGGCCCAACCCCUGAACUGCUAUUGAAACUGUUGGUCUUGAGUAUCGGAGAGGCAGGCGGAAUUCCUGGUGUAGCGGUGAAAUGCGUAGAUAUUAGGAGGAACACCGGUGGCGAAGGCAGCCUGCUGGACGGCAACUGACGGUGAGGCGCGAAAGCGUGGGGAGCAAACAGGAUUAGAUACCCCAGUAGUC
RNAcentral lists this ribosomal RNA (441 nucleotides) under uncultured bacterium. RNAcentral's name for it is "partial 16S ribosomal RNA". It matches the Rfam family "Bacterial small subunit ribosomal RNA", at positions 338 to 795 of the family's 1533-position model. The record is from RNAcentral.